This 200-nucleotide unclassified non-coding RNA is filed under the name soil metagenome. RNAcentral's name for it is "partial contains internal transcribed spacer 2 and large subunit ribosomal RNA". The record is from RNAcentral.
AUCCUCAAGCAUUCUUGCUUGGUUGUGGAGGAAGAGGGUCCUUGGACCGUCCCCUCUGGAAUUUCUCAGCAGAGACCGCAACAGCCUCAGGUGUGAUAACAUUACCUCGCUUGAGGGCUGCAGUGGGCUCCCGCUGCGUUGAUCCCCCCAGCAAUACUAUGUUUGACCUCGGAUCAGGUAGGGAUACCCGCUGAACUUAA